RNAcentral lists this ribosomal RNA (497 nucleotides) under uncultured bacterium. RNAcentral's name for it is "partial 16S ribosomal RNA". It matches the Rfam family "Bacterial small subunit ribosomal RNA", at positions 28 to 507 of the family's 1533-position model. The record is from RNAcentral.
GAUGAACGCUGGCGGCGUGCCUAAUACAUGCAAGUCGAGCGAACAGACGAGGAGCUUGCUUCUCUGACGUUAGCGGCGGACGGGUGAGUAACACGUGGAUAACCUACCUAUAAGACUGGGAUAACUUCGGGAAACCGGAGCUAAUACCGGAUAAUAUAUUGAACCGCAUGGUUCAAUAGUGAAAGACGGUUUUGCUGUCACUUAUAGAUGGAUCCGCGCCGCAUUAGCUAGUUGGUAAGGUAACGGCUUACCAAGGCAACGAUGCGUAGCCGACCUGAGAGGGUGAUCGGCCACACUGGAACUGAGCCACGGUCCAGACUCCUACGGGAGGCAGCAGUAGGGAAUCUUCCGCAAUGGGCGAAAGCCUGACGGAGCAACGCCGCGUGAGUGAUGAAGGUCUUCGGAUCGUAAAACUCUGUUAUUAGGGAAGAACAAAUGUGUAAGUAACUAUGCACGUCUUGACGGUACCUAAUCAGAAAGCCACGGCUAACUACGUG